This is a long non-coding RNA of Gadus morhua (Atlantic cod), 488 nucleotides long. The record is from Ensembl. Lineage: Eukaryota; Metazoa; Chordata; Actinopteri; Gadiformes; Gadidae.
ACCGCCCUUCACCAUCUUGGAGGAGCUGGCUCUCGCCAACAACAAAGGUCGGCCAAUGAUGGUAGGAGUGGAUGGGGGGAUGUUCUCUGACCCCACUGCCUCGACAUCGAACCCGUUUGUAACGAUUGAAGAUAUAAACAUUAUUUUGGAGGAGCCGCCGACAAUUAAUCUCCAAUCAGAGGAGACACUGUCGGCCUGUGACUCCAGGGCGACUAUGGAGAGGGAAAUGGCAAUGGAUGAGCCAUCCACCUCCAUGUCAACCUUCUCAAGGCCUUCUCGAGGGACAGACAAGAUUGGAACAGACACUAUAAGGGCGCUGUACAAGCGCAACUUGGAGCUGGACAACGAUAUAAAAGUCUUGGUGAAAAAAAAAUUGAAGAUCGAGAUCCAGCUCCUCGAGAGGGUAGGCUAUUUUUAGAUUUUCUUUGGUUAAGCUCGACUGACUACUGAAAUAAUGUUCUUUUUCCUACUUUCACAGCAACUGCAUG